UUUCCGUAGGUGAACCUGCGGAAGGAUCAUUAUUGUACAACCUCACUGCGUGGUAUGUAUUCGACACGAAUGGUCGCGGAGGCCCGCGUGCCUUUUUUCCAAACAUUCUCAACUGUACGUGCUCUACCAUGAGGAUACCAAACUGUCAAGUACGGAGGGGUGGUCUCUCUUUCCCAUAAAGAUUGCAUCAAGUGUGGAAUGCACACUUUGUAUCUGCGAUCAUGCAUACAAUACACCUUUCAACUAUGGAUCUCUUGGCUAUCGCAACGAUGAAGAACG
RNAcentral lists this unclassified non-coding RNA (279 nucleotides) under plant metagenome. RNAcentral describes it as "partial contains small subunit ribosomal RNA, internal transcribed spacer 1, and 5.8S ribosomal RNA". The record is from RNAcentral.